AUUGAACGCUGGCGGCAGGCCUAACACAUGCAAGUCGAACGGUAACAGGGAUCAGCUUGCUGAUUCGCUGACGAGUGGCGGACGGGUGAGUAAUGUCUGGGAAACUGCCUGAUGGAGGGGGAUAACUACUGGAAACGGUAGCUAAUACCGCAUAAUGUCGCAAGACCAAAGAGGGGGACCUUCGGGCCUCUUGCCAUCGGAUGUGCCCAGAUGGGAUUAGCUAGUAGGUGGGGUAACGGCUCACCUAGGCGACGAUCCCUAGCUGGUCUGAGAGGAUGACCAGCCACACUGGAACUGAGACACGGUCCAGACUCCUACGGGAGGCAGCAGUGGGGAAUAUUGCACAAUGGGCGCAAGCCUGAUGCAGCCAUGCCGCGUGUAUGAAGAAGGCCUUCGGGUUGUAAAGUACUUUCAGCGGGGAGGAAGGGAGUAAAGUUAAUACCUUGGCUCAUUGACGUUACCCGCAGAAGAAGCACCGGCUAACUCCGUG
RNAcentral lists this ribosomal RNA (490 nucleotides) under uncultured bacterium. RNAcentral's name for it is "partial 16S ribosomal RNA". It matches the Rfam family "Bacterial small subunit ribosomal RNA", at positions 30 to 507 of the family's 1533-position model. The record is from RNAcentral.